AGCGAACGCUGGCGGCAGGCUUAACACAUGCAAGUCGAGCGGGCACCUUUCGGGGUGUCAGCGGCGGGCGGGUGAGUAACGCGUGGGAACGUGCCCUCUGGUUCGGAAUAACUCAGGGAAACUUGAGCUAAUACCGGAUACGCCCUUUUGGGGAAAGGCUUGCUGCCGGAGGAUCGGCCCGCGUCUGAUUAGCUAGUUGGUGAGGUAACGGCUCACCAAGGCGACGAUCAGUAGCUGGUCUGAGAGGAUGAUCAGCCACACUGGGACUGAGACACGGCCCAGACUCCUACGGGAGGCAGCAGUGGGGAAUAUUGGACAAUGGGCGCAAGCCUGAUCCAGCCAUGCCGCGUGAGUGAUGAAGGCCUUAGGGUUGUAAAGCUCUUUUAUCCGGGACGAUAAUGACGGUACCGGAGGAAUAAGCCCCGGCUAACUUCGUG
Molecule: ribosomal RNA, 437 nt
Filed under: uncultured bacterium
Lineage: Bacteria
Description: partial 16S ribosomal RNA
Rfam family: Bacterial small subunit ribosomal RNA
Source: RNAcentral